GCCUUGGUGGUGGAACUGGUAGACACGCAGGACUUAAAAUCCUGUUCGCCGACAACGCGAGUGCGGGUUCGAUUCCCGCCUGAGGCACAA
Molecule: transfer RNA, 90 nt
Filed under: Chitinophagaceae bacterium
Lineage: Bacteria; Pseudomonadati; Bacteroidota; Chitinophagia; Chitinophagales; Chitinophagaceae
Description: tRNA-Leu
Rfam family: tRNA
About the family: Transfer RNA (tRNA) molecules are approximately 80 nucleotides in length. Their secondary structure includes four short double-helical elements and three loops (D, anti-codon, and T loops).
Source: RNAcentral